Molecule: ribosomal RNA, 706 nt
Filed under: uncultured Lachnospiraceae bacterium
Lineage: Bacteria; Bacillati; Bacillota; Clostridia; Lachnospirales; Lachnospiraceae
Description: bacterial SSU rRNA
Rfam family: Bacterial small subunit ribosomal RNA
Source: RNAcentral
GAUGAACGCUGGCGGCGUGCUUAACACAUGCAAGUCGAACGAAGCGCUUGAACAGAUUUCUUCGGAUUGAAGUUUUUGCGACUGAGUGGCGGACGGGUGAGUAACGCGUGGGUAACCUGCCUCAUACAGGGGGAUAACAGUUAGAAAUGACUGCUAAUACCGCAUAAGCGCACGGUGCUGCAUGGCACAGUGUGAAAAACUCCGGUGGUAUGAGAUGGACCCGCGUCUGAUUAGCUAGUUGGUGGGGUAACGGCCUACCAAGGCGACGAUCAGUAGCCGGCCUGAGAGGGUGAACGGCCACAUUGGGACUGAGACACGGCCCAAACUCCUACGGGAGGCAGCAGUGGGGAAUAUUGCACAAUGGGGGAAACCCUGAUGCAGCGACGCCGCGUGAGCGAAGAAGUAUUUCGGUAUGUAAAGCUCUAUCAGCAGGGAAGAAAUAGGACGGUACCUGACUAAGAAGCACCGGCUAAAUACGUGCCAGCAGCCGCGGUAAUACGUAUGGUGCAAGCGUUAUCCGGAUUUACUGGGUGUAAAGGGAGCGUAGACGGUUGUGUAAGUCUGAUGUGAAAGCCCGGGGCUCAACCCCGGGACUGCAUUGGAAACUAUGUAACUAGAGUGUCGGAGAGGUAAGCGGAAUUCCUAGUGUAGCGGUGAAAUGCGUAGAUAUUAGGAGGAACACCAGUGGCGAAGGCGGCUUACUGGA